GACGGGGCCCGCACAAGCGGAGGAGCAUGUGGUUUAAUUCGAUGAUACGCGAGGAACCUUACCUGGGCUUGAACGUAAGAUGACUGUAGGUGAAAGCUUACAUCUCUUCGGAGCAUUUUACGAGGUGCUGCAUGGUUGUCGUCAGCUCGUGCCGUGAGGUGUCGGGUUAAGUCCCAUAACGAGCGCAACCCUACCUUUAGUUGCCAUCAGGUAAUGCUGGGGACUCUAAAGGAACUGCCUACGCAAGUAGUGAGGAAGCGGGGAUGACGUCAAAUCAGCACGGCCCUUACGUCCAGGGCUACACACGUGCUACAAUGGCCGAUACAGAGGGCAGCUACCUGGUGACAGGAUGCAAAUCUCCAAAGUCGGUCUCAGUUCGGAUUGGAGUCUGAAACCCGACUCCAUGAAGUUGGAAUCGCUAGUAAUCGCGCAUCAGCAUGGCGCGGUGAAUACGUUCCCGGGCCUU
Molecule: ribosomal RNA, 466 nt
Filed under: uncultured Sphingobacteriales bacterium
Lineage: Bacteria; Pseudomonadati; Bacteroidota; Sphingobacteriia; Sphingobacteriales
Description: bacterial SSU rRNA
Rfam family: Bacterial small subunit ribosomal RNA
Source: RNAcentral